AGAGUGAAGAAGAAGAGGAGGAAGAGGAAUGGCAAAGGGAAGAGAGAGAAGAGGGAGAAGGAAGAAGAGGAGGAGAUUAUGCACGACACUUGUUAAAAUUGCAACACUGAGACGGUAUUAGCAGCCCAGUUCUUCAUUUGAGAAGACCAAAGCACAGAGGGGCUAAGUGAUUUGCCCGGGCCCACACAGCUGGGUUGUUGCUGAGCCAGCAUUUGAAACCAGGCUACAUCCUUGAAUCUCAGCUUGGACUUGGUAUCAUUCAGAGUCCUACCAAGAGAAUCAAAACCACUUCAGUGCCUCCACCACCAGUCUCUCAUGAAUGACUCUCCUUGUCAGGGCCCAGAUGGAAGCCAGCUGACAUGCAAGCCUGGGAACUGCAGCCUGCAGAGAUCAACAACCCCACGGAGUCACAGAGCAGAGCAGACAGACACACAGAAGAAAAGGCAAUGUGAAGACAAGACAGAGGCCGGAUGGAGGUGAUGCCACCACAAGCCAAGGAAUGCUGGCAGCUGCUAGAAGCUGGAGGAGACGGGGAACAAAUUCUCUGCUAGAGCCUCCAGAGGAAAGACAGCCCUGUUCACAUCUUGAUUUCAGAAGUCUGGCCUCCAGAACUGCGAAAGAAUACGUGACUGUUAUCUUAAGCUACAAGUCUGUGUAUUGUGCUCCUCCAUCGUAUUCCCAAAACAGCAUCCCUGGCUUCUGUCCCGUGCCCAUUGUCCUUUCAUGCUGAAGCAGCUUAUUGCAUUGUCUUAUCUGUCCUACCAGGCUGACCUCCUUGAGGGCAGAAUUAGAUCUUGGAGAGAGAGCGCCCUAGUUCUCAACAUUGUGACGGGUAUAUAAUGGAUGACAAAUAAAUAUUAACUUGACUUUA
RNAcentral lists this long non-coding RNA (871 nucleotides) under Homo sapiens (human). RNAcentral's name for it is "HSALNT0330835". The record is from RNAcentral. Lineage: Eukaryota; Metazoa; Chordata; Mammalia; Primates; Hominidae.